AGUGAGCGGAUGAACUGAGGGUAGCGGAGAAAUUCCAAUCGAACCUGGAGAUAGCUGGUUCUCUCCGAAAUAGCUUUAGGGCUAGCCUCAAGUGAUGAUUAUUGGAGGUAGAGCACUGUUUGGACGAGGGGCCCCUCUCGGGUUACCGAAUUCAGACAAACUCCGAAUGCCAAUUAAUUUAACUUGGGAGUCAGAACAUGGGUGAUAAGGUCCGUGUUCGAAAGGGAAACAGCCCAGACCACCAGCUAAGGUCCCAAAAUAUAUGUUAAGUGGAAAAGGAUGUGGCGUUGCCCAGACAACUAGGAUGUUGGCUUAGAAGCAGCCAUCAUUUAAAGAGUGCGUAAUAGCUCACUAGUCGAGUGACACUGCGCCGAAAAUGUACCGGGGCUAAACAUAUUACCGAAGCUGUGGAUUGUCCUUUGGACAAUGGUA
Molecule: ribosomal RNA, 432 nt
Filed under: Staphylococcus aureus
Lineage: Bacteria; Bacillati; Bacillota; Bacilli; Caryophanales; Staphylococcaceae
Description: partial 23S ribosomal RNA
Rfam family: Bacterial large subunit ribosomal RNA
Source: RNAcentral